GGGCGGUUGGCGCAGUGGUAGCGCACUUCCCUGACACGGAAGGGGUAACAAGUUCGAAUCUUGUAUCGCCCA
RNAcentral lists this transfer RNA (72 nucleotides) under Bifidobacterium sp. RNAcentral describes it as "tRNA-Val". It matches the Rfam family "tRNA". Rfam says of the family: Transfer RNA (tRNA) molecules are approximately 80 nucleotides in length. Their secondary structure includes four short double-helical elements and three loops (D, anti-codon, and T loops). RNAcentral also lists the same sequence under 1 other name. The record is from RNAcentral. Lineage: Bacteria; Bacillati; Actinomycetota; Actinomycetes; Bifidobacteriales; Bifidobacteriaceae.